This 253-nucleotide ribosomal RNA is filed under the name uncultured bacterium. RNAcentral describes it as "partial 16S ribosomal RNA". It matches the Rfam family "Bacterial small subunit ribosomal RNA", at positions 524 to 776 of the family's 1533-position model. The record is from RNAcentral.
UACGUAGGUGGCAAGCGUUGUCCGGAAUUACUGGGUGUAAAGGGCGUGUAGGCGGGUGUUUAAGUCAGAUGUGAAAUCCUGAGGCUCAACCUCAGAGCUGCAUCUGAAACUGGACAUCUUGAGUGCUGGAGAGGAAAGCGGAAUUCCUAGUGUAGCGGUGAAAUGCGUAGAUAUUAGGAGGAACACCAGUGGCGAAGGCGGCUUUCUGGACAGUAACUGACGCUGAGGCGCGAAAGCGUGGGGAGCAAACAGG